Molecule: non-coding RNA, 740 nt
Organism: Pelobates cultripes (western spadefoot toad)
Lineage: Eukaryota; Metazoa; Chordata; Amphibia; Anura; Pelobatidae
Source: the annotation of a GenBank genome assembly
GCUGCAAGGAGACAUUCACUGAGACACUAAGGGACAUUGGGAGACAUUAUGACAGACACCUGGGGACACAGUGUCCCCAUCUCUCCCAGCCAGUGUCCCUGGUGUCUCAGUGCCCCCUAGUCUGCCAGUGCCCCCAGUCUGCCAGUGUCUCACUGUUCCCAUGUCUUCUAGUGCCUCCAUGUCUCCCAGUGCCCCCAUGUCUCAAUUUUCCCAUCUCCCCCAGCCAGUGUCUCUAGUGUCUGUGUCCCUGGUGUCUGUGUCCCCAUGUCUUCAAGUGUCCCCAUGCAUCCCAGCCAGAGUCCCCUAGUCUCCCAGUGCCACUGGUGUCUCUGUGUCCCUAGGUGUCCCCAGGUCUUCCUAGUGACAUGGGAACUCUGGGAUACAUGGGGACACAGGGAGACACGGGGCAUUGAGACACUGUGAUACAUAGGACACGACACUAGGGGACACUGGGAGACAUGGGGCACUGAGACACUGAUACAUAGGAACACUGAGAACAGGAGUAAUCGACACAUGGGGGCACUGGGAGACAUGGGGCUACUGGGAGGAAUCCAUCUAUACAGCAGAAUCAACCUAAGUAGUUUUUUGGUGAUUUUACAGCAUUUUCUCUUAUGUCACUCCUUGUGAUUUACAUCAUGUGAUGUCACCCACACAUAUUUAAUUAUGCAAAUUAGCAAGGCUGGUAUGUUUUUCCAAGAAAGGUGGCAACCCUAACUACUUUUCACAUACCCUUACUUAAG